This 478-nucleotide ribosomal RNA is filed under the name uncultured bacterium. Its description in RNAcentral is "partial 16S ribosomal RNA". It matches the Rfam family "Bacterial small subunit ribosomal RNA", at positions 28 to 507 of the family's 1533-position model. The record is from RNAcentral.
GACGAACGCUAGCGGCGUGCUUAACACAUGCAAGUCGAACGGGAUCUUUGUUGUAACUCUUUCGUUAAUGGCGAUGAACAGAAAGUGGCGAACGGGGGAGGAACCCGUGAGCAACCUACCGUACACAGGGGGAUAGCCGUGGGAAACGACUAGUAAUACCUCUUGAGACCAUAGAUUCGUAUGUAAUAGUGCUCAAGGAUUUAUCGGUGUAAGAAGGGCUUGCGUCUUAUUUGCUAGUUGGAAGGGUAAAGGCCUACCAAGGCGACGAUCAGUAGCCGAUAUGAGAGGAGGGACAGCCACAUGGGAACUGAGACACGGUCCAAAAUCCUACGGUAGGCAGCAGUGGGGAAUAUGGCACAAUGGGGGGAACCGUGAUGCAGCGACGCCGCGUAAGCUAAGAAGCUUUUCGAAUCGUAAAACUCUGUACAAUGAGAAGAUAAUGACGGUAUCAUAGGAAGAAGCCCCGGCUAAAUCCGUG